RNAcentral lists this long non-coding RNA (634 nucleotides) under Vigna radiata. RNAcentral's name for it is "long non-coding RNA (VRAD_LNC015261)". The record is from RNAcentral. Lineage: Eukaryota; Viridiplantae; Streptophyta; Magnoliopsida; Fabales; Fabaceae.
GCAACCAAAAUACACUUAAUCAGCUCAGAAAACCCAAAUUAGCACAAUUACGAAUUUCCGACCAAAUUAAGCAGAAUUCAGAAAACGGGGAAAUAACAGACAAUUAAACACAAUUCCCUGGUUUAUUUAAGUGCAAUAAACUAAAUAUAGUUCAAGAAAUAACCACUCAUAAAAAUAGACCACACUUAGUCUUUUGCACUCCUGGGCAAAGCCAAGACGAAAACCAGGGAACUACUCAAACAUCAGGGAGGUGACACAGACUCAACACACAGAAAACAAAGAUUGACAAGGAAGGAAACAAACAGAAUUACACAAUUCUCAAGAACUUUGGACAAGGAAAAGAAGUAGACAAUAUCCAACAUAGAAUCAAGGAAAGCAAAUACUCAUGAAGUCAUCCAAGCAAAGCAAACAUAAUGAUUGAGUUUACAAGCAAGAAUACAAAGAAUAUCUCUCAAUGCACUCUCUUUCACCACUCAAAAUCAAUUACAACAAACAAGAGGUGAACAAUCCUCACACUCUCACAACCUAGAAAGCAAUCUCAACUUUCUAUCACCUUAGAGUAAUCCCAACUCUAAGAAAACCUUGAGAGAAAUCCUAACUCUCAAAUGAGAACAAACACAGUCCUCCCUCUGGC